UGGCUCUGGCAUCGAUGAAGAACGCAGCGAAAUGCGAUAAGUAAUGUGAAUUGCAGAAUUCAGUGAAUCAUCGAAUCUUUGAACGCACAUUGCGCCCUCUGGUAUUCCGGGGGGCAUGCCCGUUCGAGCGUCAUUACACCUCUCAAGCACGGCUUGGUAUUGGAGGCUAGCAGCGUUUGUUGCUCCUCUAGAAGUUGUCGGUCGAGUUCAUUAAGCCGAUGCUUAUAACCGCAGUCAUUCAAACUUUUUUGGUUCUGGGGUAUCAUAACAUCGCACUCGCUUCCGUCCACAGAAACCCCCCGCAAGGGCCUUUCUGCAAACGCAUAUUCUAAGGUUGACCUCGGAUCGGGUAGGGAUACCCGCUGA
RNAcentral lists this unclassified non-coding RNA (366 nucleotides) under uncultured fungus. RNAcentral describes it as "partial contains 5.8S ribosomal RNA and internal transcribed spacer 2". The stretch from base 1 to 133 matches the Rfam family "5.8S ribosomal RNA", at positions 22 to 154 of the family's 154-position model. Lineage: Eukaryota; Fungi. The record is from RNAcentral.